This 253-nucleotide ribosomal RNA is filed under the name uncultured bacterium. RNAcentral describes it as "partial 16S ribosomal RNA". It matches the Rfam family "Bacterial small subunit ribosomal RNA", at positions 524 to 776 of the family's 1533-position model. The record is from RNAcentral.
UACGGAGGGUGCAAGCGUUGUUCGGAUUUACUGGGCGUAAAGCGCGCGUAGGUGGGUGAACAAGUCGGAAGUGAAAUCUUGAGGCUCAACCUCGAGGCUGCUCCCGAAACUGUUCGCCUAGGGACUGGUAGAGGCUGGUAGAAUUCCCGGUGUAGCGGUGGAAUGCGUAGAGAUCGGGAAGAAUACCUGUGGCGAAGGCGGCCAGCUGGGCCAGAUCCGACACUGAGGCGCGAAAGUGUGGGGAGCGAACAGG